Molecule: ribosomal RNA, 255 nt
Filed under: uncultured bacterium
Lineage: Bacteria
Description: partial 16S ribosomal RNA
Rfam family: Bacterial small subunit ribosomal RNA
Source: RNAcentral
UACGUAGGGCGCAAGCGUUGUCCGGAAUCAUUGGGCGUAAAGAGCGUGUAGGCGGCCACUUAAGUCCUGCGUGAAAUCUUGCGGCUCAACCGCAAGCGGUCGUGGGAAACUGGGUGGCUAGAGUGCGGGAGAGGAGAGUGGAAUUCCUGGUGUAGCGGUGGAAUGCGCAGAUAUCAGGAAGAACACCCGUGGCGAAGGCGGCUCUCUGGGACGGUACUGACGGCUGAGACGCGACAGCGUGGGGGAGCAAACAGG